GAUCGUUGGUCCCGGCGCCUGAG
Molecule: non-coding RNA, 23 nt
Filed under: Cricetulus griseus (Chinese hamster)
Lineage: Eukaryota; Metazoa; Chordata; Mammalia; Rodentia; Cricetidae
Source: RNAcentral